AUGACCCCUGCAAGGACCACCUUUGCUCGCUCUGAGCACCAGCACAAAUCUGCAGAGGAGACCUCAAGUACCACUCAGCUCUCACUAUCAAGCAGCACCAGGGAAGCUGAGUGUAGUGGAACAGCCUCCAAGGAAGGCCCAGUGGAAGCCUUUCAAACUCAAGAGUUUCUCAGAUGCACAGAAACUGUCAACUUGAGGAAAAGUGAAGACAAAGGUCAAAAAGGUGUGGGUUAUCUGGACCAGACAAUUCAACUGGCAGAGAUGAGGGAAACACUACACCAGCCCAAAAGCACAACGCUGUCUGCUGCUUCCAAAAUAAGAGCCAUUAAUGCGAUCAUCAAGAACCACGCACAUUCUGUAAGACGGCCACAUCACCAAGGAGCUGCUGGUCUGCCAGUCCCAAAUGUCGUUGAAGGAGAAAAUCCGAAGUGUCAAAGAGGUGAAAUCUGUUCAGAGGAGGUGCUCCCUAAGCCUACAGAGCCACAGAUGAGGGAGCCACUGAGACAGCCCAAAAGCAAAAUCAAUUCUGCGGCUUCCAGAAUUAAGGCUAUCAAUGAAAUUCACAGAAAUCAGAAACAUUCUCAAAGACAUCCAAAGCAGGAAGGAGCUGCUUUUCUGGCAGAGAAUGUGCAAGGGUUCAAAACCACAAAAUCCGACAUAGAGAACAAAGACGCCAGCUUCACGGUCUCUGUGUUGUGCAGUAAUGCACAACAAGUUUAAAUAAAAAGGUGAAAUGACUUAAAACUAAUAGACUUGUCUGAACUUUUUCUGCCUGUCUCUCUUGCUAGGAGUCUCAGCAGUCUUCUGCCAUCUCUCUUUGGCAAAGACAUGUUUGAAAAGAAAAAACUAAAAAUCACAAUCAGGGAAAGAGCUCUGGAUCUCCAAAGUACCAAUCUGCAGGUCUUAUAUGCAGGCUACCAUUAUGUCAGGAUAACAACAAUCUGCUGCCCAGGAAGAUUAAUCUUACUUUGAAUUCAGUAGACACUACAAUACUAUGCUCCUCAGAAAAUCAGCUUACAUUUGAGACCUGCUUUUCAUCCCAAAAGGUGGAUUCUUCUGCUAUCAGAAAGGUGCCAUUAAACACUGUCACCACCAGAGCAACACACAGACUAAAUGGAUAUGUAGUUGAGACCAGGGGGAAAGGGGACCACUGUAGAACAAUGAGUCCAAUCGUAAGGUCCAUAAACCCUUGCACAAGUUGCUUCCAGUCAGUAGAAAACUACCUGUUACUCCUCAACAUCAGAAACCCUGCUUGCAGAUGUUAGAAAGAACCAAACAUUCCAACCUCCUGGCCCCUGCCCCAACAAGAGUCCAUCUCCAAGCUCU
Molecule: long non-coding RNA, 1326 nt
Filed under: Anser cygnoides (Swan goose)
Lineage: Eukaryota; Metazoa; Chordata; Aves; Anseriformes; Anatidae
Description: lncRNA (ENSACDG00005008727.1)
Source: RNAcentral